RNAcentral lists this ribosomal RNA (301 nucleotides) under uncultured bacterium. Its description in RNAcentral is "partial 16S ribosomal RNA". It matches the Rfam family "Bacterial small subunit ribosomal RNA", at positions 509 to 807 of the family's 1533-position model. The record is from RNAcentral.
CAGCCGCCGCGGUAAUACGAAGGGGGCUAGCGUUGCUCGGAAUUACUGGGCGUAAAGGGAGCGUAGGCGGAUCGUUUAGUUGGGGGUGAAAUCCCGGGGCUCAACCUCGGAACUGCCUUCAAUACUGGCGAUCUUGAGUAUGGGAGAGGUGAGUGGAACUCCGAGUGUAGAGGUGAAAUUCGUAGAUAUUCGGAAGAACACCAGUGGCGAAGGCGACUCACUGGCCCAUUACUGACGCUGAGGCUCGAAAGCGUGGGGAGCAAACAGGAUUAGAUACCCCAGUAGUCCCUGUCUCUUAUAC